GUACCGUGAGGGAAAGGCGAAAAGAACCCCGGCGAGGGGAGUGAAAAAGAACCUGAAACCGUGUACGUACAAGCAGUGGGAGCACGCUUAGGCGUGUGACUGCGUACCUUUUGUAUAAUGGGUCAGCGACUUAUAUUCUGUAGCAAGGUUAACCGAAUAGGGGAGCCGAAGGGAAACCGAGUCUUAACUGGGCGUUAAGUUGCAGGGUAUAGACCCGAAACCCGGUGAUCUAGCCAUGGGCAGGUUGAAGGUUGGGUAACACUAACUGGAGGACCGAACCGACUAAUGUUGAAAAAUUAGCGGAUGACUUGUGGCUGGGGGUGAAAGGCCAAUCAAACCGGGAGAUAGCUGGUUCUCCCCGAAAGCUAUUUAGGUAGCGCCUCGUGAAUUCAUCUCCGGGGGUAGAGCACUGUUUCGGCAAGGGGGUCAUCCCGACUUACCAACCCGAUGCAAACUGCGAAUACCGGAGAAUGUUAUCACGGGAGACACACGGCGGGUGCUAACGUCCGUCGUGAAGAGGGAAACAACCCAGACCGCCAGCUAAGGUCCCAAAGUCAUGGUUAAGUGGGAAACGAUGUGGGAAGGCCCAGACAGCCAGGAUGUUGGCUUAGAAGCAGCCAUCAUUUAAAGAAAGCGUAAUAGCUCACUGGUCGAGUCGGCCUGCGCGGAAGAUGUAACGGGGCUAAACCAUGCACCGAAGCUGCGGCAGCGACGCUGAUGCGUUGUUGGGUAGGGGAGCGUUCUGUAAGCCUGCGAAGGUGUGCUGUGAGGCAUGCUGGAGGUAUCAGAAGUGCGAAUGCUGACAUAAGUAACGAUAAAGCGGGUGAAAAGCCCGCUCGCCGGAAGACCAAGGGUUCCUGUCCAACGUUAAUCGGGGCAGGGUGAGUCGACCCCUAAGGCGAGGCCGAAAGGCGUAGUCGAUGGGAAACAGGUUAAUAUUCCUGUACUUGGUGUUACUGCGAAGGGGGGACGGAGAAGGCUAUGUUGGCCGGGCGACGGUUGUCCCGGUUUAAGCGUGUAGGCUGGUUUUCCAGGCAAAUCCGGAAAAUCAAGGCUGAGGCGUGAUGACGAGGCACUGCGGUGCUGAAGCAACAAAUGCCCUGCUUCCAGGAAAAGCCUCUAAGCAUCAGGUAACAUCAAAUCGUACCCCAAACCGACACAGGUGGUCAGGUAGAGAAUACCAAGGCGCUUGAGAGAACUCGGGUGAAGGAACUAGGCAAAAUGGUGCCGUAACUUCGGGAGAAGGCACGCUGAUAUGUAGGUGAAGUCCCUCGCGGAUGGAGCUGAAAUCAGUCGAAGAUACCAGCUGGCUGCAACUGUUUAUUAAAAACACAGCACUGUGCAAACACGAAAGUGGACGUAUACGGUGUGACGCCUGCCCGGUGCCGGAAGGUUAAUUGAUGGGGUUAGCGCAAGCGAAGCUCUUGAUCGAAGCCCCGGUAAACGGCGGCCGUAACUAUAACGGUCCUAAGGUAGCGAAAUUCCUUGUCGGGUAAGUUCCGACCUGCACGAAUGGCGUAAUGAUGGCUAGGCUGUCUCCACCCGAGACUCAGUGAAAUUGAACUCGCUGUGAAGAUGCAGUGUACCCGCGGCAAGACGGAAAGACCCCGUGAACCUUUACUAUAGCUUGACACUGAACAUUGAGCCUUGAUGUGUAGGAUAGGUGGGAGGCUU
RNAcentral lists this ribosomal RNA (1674 nucleotides) under Escherichia coli. Its description in RNAcentral is "partial 23S ribosomal RNA". It matches the Rfam family "Bacterial large subunit ribosomal RNA", at positions 498 to 2157 of the family's 2925-position model. Lineage: Bacteria; Pseudomonadati; Pseudomonadota; Gammaproteobacteria; Enterobacterales; Enterobacteriaceae. The record is from RNAcentral.